RNAcentral lists this non-coding RNA (46 nucleotides) under Schistosoma mansoni. The record is from RNAcentral. Lineage: Eukaryota; Metazoa; Platyhelminthes; Trematoda; Strigeidida; Schistosomatidae.
GCACUGGUGAGGAGUCCCACAAUAGGACGAAACGGCUGUCCAGUAC